Molecule: ribosomal RNA, 539 nt
Filed under: uncultured bacterium
Lineage: Bacteria
Description: partial 16S ribosomal RNA
Rfam family: Bacterial small subunit ribosomal RNA
Source: RNAcentral
UGGGGAAUAUUGGACAAUGGGCGCAAGCCUGAUCCAGCCAUGCCGCGUGAGUGAUGAAGGCCCUAGGGUUGUAAAGCUCUUUCACCGGUGAAGAUAAUGACGGUAACCGGAGAAGAAGCCCCGGCUAACUUCGUGCCAGCAGCCGCGGUAAUACGAAGGGGGCUAGCGUUGUUCGGAUCUACUGGGCGUAAAGCGCACGUAGGCGGACUUUUAAGUCAGGGGUGAAAUCCCGGGGCUCAACCCCGGAACUGCCUUUGAUACUGGAAGUCUUGAGUAUGGUAGAGGUGAGUGGAAUUCCGAGUGUAGAGGUGAAAUUCGUAGAUAUUCGGAGGAACACCAGUGGCGAAGGCGGCUCACUGGACCAUUACUGACGCUGAGGUGCGAAAGCGUGAGGAGCAAACAGGAUUAGAUACCCUGGUAGUCCACGCCGUAAACGAUGAAUGUUAGCCGUUGGGGAGUUUACUCUUCGGUGGCGCAGCUAACGCAUUAAACAUUCCGCCUGGGGAGUACGGUCGCAAGAUUAAAACUCAAAUGAAUUG